UCCAGUGUCCUGAGGGUUAAACCACUUAUAUGUACUUGGACUAUGCUGCCUUUUCGCUAAGGUGUUUGCCAGAGCGGGGAAGGAUUUGCUAGAUGUUUCAGUGAUAUGGAGUGGAUUUGGGUACAUUACAUUCAUCCCCUAUUGAGCACCUGCAGGCAGAACAUAAUGGGAAUACAUAUUUUGAAAUUUUAUCUCAAUCUUGUCACCCAGGAGUGGGUAUUACCUACUGCUUCUUUCAUUGUAAGGUUGCUCAUGAGCUCUUAUUGGCUUACCAACCUUGACAGUGUCCCUUGGAGUAGUUUAAGCACUUAAAAGUUUAUUGGAGGUGGAUGUAAGAAUAAUAAAACAAGUUUUAUUAGGAUAGUACAUCACGCUGUGAGACCAGGAGUACAAGUGGCUAUGAGAUUCAGAGAAGCUCAAGGGACAGGCUACUGAGCUAGCCGUGAUCAGGGAAUACCAGAGGCAUACACUGUUAUCUUCAGCGUGAACCUGCAGAGCUCCAUGCAAGGAUGUGUGCGUUUAUCAUAAUUAUGUGGUAUCAAGGCCAUAGUCCCAGGAACUCCAGGCGUUGCACAAAGAAGCAAGUAACAAAGUUUACAUUGCAGGAAGCACCCAGGAAUACUAUGGCUGAGUAGCAGCGUAGAGGACUGAAGGGG
Long non-coding RNA from Mauremys reevesii (Reeves's turtle), 656 nucleotides. RefSeq lists it as uncharacterized. The transcript has 3 exons. The record is from RefSeq and is a predicted model, not a curated record. Lineage: Eukaryota; Metazoa; Chordata; Testudines; Geoemydidae.